GAUGAACGCUGGCGGCGUGCCUAAUACAUGCAAGUCGAGCGGACGGACGCUAAGCUUGCGUCUUUGAUGUUAGCGGCAGGCGGGAGAGUAACACGUGGAUCACCUACCUAUAUUUCGGGGAUAACUUCGGAAAACCGGAUAUAAUACCAUAGAAUAUUUUGCACCGCGUGGUUCAAAAGAGAAUUACGGUCUUGGUGUCUCUAAUAGCUGCUUCCGCGCUGCAUUAGCUAGUUGGUAAGGUCACGGCGUACCAAGGCAACGAUGCAUAGCCGAACUGAGAGGGUGAUCGGCCACACUGGAACUGAGACACGGUCCAGACUCCUACGGGAGGCAGCAGUAGGGAAUCUUCCGCAAUGGGCGGAAGCCUGACCGAGCAACGCCGCGUGAGUGAUGAAGGUCUUCGGGUCGUAAAACUCUGUUAUUAGGGAAGAAAAAAUGUGCAAGUAUCUCUGAACGUCAUGACGGUACCUAAGUAAAAAGCCACGGCUAACUUCGUG
Molecule: ribosomal RNA, 497 nt
Filed under: uncultured bacterium
Lineage: Bacteria
Description: partial 16S ribosomal RNA
Rfam family: Bacterial small subunit ribosomal RNA
Source: RNAcentral